CAGUCGCCACGGUAAUACGUAGGGUGCAAGCGUUAAUCGGAAUUACUGGGCGUAAAGCGUGCGUAGGUGGUGGUUUAAGUCCGUUGUGAAAGCCCUGGGCUCAACCUGGGAAUUGCAGUGGAUACUGGGUCACUAGAGUGUGGUAGAGGAUAGUGGAAUUUCCGGUGUAGCAGUGAGAUGCGUAGAGAUCGGAAGGAACAUCUGUGGCGAAGGCGACUAUCUGGGCCAACACUGACACUGAGGCACGAAAGCGUGGGGAGCAAACAGGAUUAGAUACCCCCGUAGUCCCUGUCUCUUAUAC
Molecule: ribosomal RNA, 301 nt
Filed under: uncultured bacterium
Lineage: Bacteria
Description: partial 16S ribosomal RNA
Rfam family: Bacterial small subunit ribosomal RNA
Source: RNAcentral